UAUCUCAAUCAAAGCACUCUCUAACUUAGCCUUAAGCUCAACUCGUUCAUGAGCUGCCUUCUUAAUCAACUUAUCUUGGUUGAUCAGGCAAUCAUUCAAUUCUUCUAUUUCUAAGGCAAGUUGUUCUGGAGUAGCCUUUACCUCUGUUUCUGUGUCAGAGUCACUUUCCUUGUCAUCCUUCUUGUUGUCGGUGUUGAGGGCCAUGACACAGUACCC
This 216-nucleotide long non-coding RNA is filed under the name Setaria viridis. RNAcentral's name for it is "long non-coding RNA (SVIR_LNC003448)". Lineage: Eukaryota; Viridiplantae; Streptophyta; Magnoliopsida; Poales; Poaceae. The record is from RNAcentral.